ACGGCGCACGGGUGCGUAACACGUGGGCAAUCUGCCCUUCGAUGGGGAAUAACUCCGGGAAACCGGAGCUAAUUCCGCAUAACAUUCCUUGGACUGCGGUUCGAGGACUCAAAGCCGUAAGGCGUCGAAGGAGGAGCCCGCGCCCGAUUAGCUAGUUGGCGAGGUAAUGGCUCACCAAGGCAAUGAUCGGUAGCUGGUCUGAGAGGAUGGCCAGCCACACUGGAACUGAGACACGGUCCAGACUCCUACGGGAGGCAGCAGUGGGGAAUCUUGCACAGUGGGCGAAAGCCUGAUGCAGCGACGCCGCGUGGGGGAUGAAGCAUCUCGGUGUGUAAACCCCUUUCGACCGGGAAGAAUGCCUCGCAAGAGGACUGACGGUACCGGUAUAAGAAGCCCCGGCUAACUACGUGCCAGCAGCCGCGGUAAGACGUAGGGGGCCAGCGUUGUUCGGAAUUACUGGGUGUAAAGGGUUCGUAGGCGGUGUGGCAAGUUGGGAGUGAAAUCUCUGGGCUCAACCCAGAGGCUGCUUCCAA
This 533-nucleotide ribosomal RNA is filed under the name uncultured bacterium. RNAcentral describes it as "bacterial SSU rRNA". It matches the Rfam family "Bacterial small subunit ribosomal RNA", at positions 95 to 630 of the family's 1533-position model. The record is from RNAcentral.